UGAGGUAAAAGAAAAAAAAUCUGAGCUU
RNAcentral lists this non-coding RNA (28 nucleotides) under Rattus norvegicus (Norway rat). Lineage: Eukaryota; Metazoa; Chordata; Mammalia; Rodentia; Muridae. The record is from RNAcentral.